CAGGCUUAACACAUGCAAGUCGAGGGGCAGCAUUUCAGUUUGCUUGCAAACUGGAGAUGGCGACCGGCGCACGGGUGAGUAACACGUAUCCAACCUGCCGAUAACUCGGGGAUAGCCUUUCGAAAGAAAGAUUAAUACCCGAUGGUAUAAUCAGACCGCAUGGUCUUGUUAUUAAAGAAUUUCGGUUAUCGAUGGGGAUGCGUUCCAUUAGGCAGUUGGUGAGGUAACGGCUCACCAAACCUUCGAUGGAUAGGGGUUCUGAGAGGAAGGUCCCCCACAUUGGAACUGAGACACGGUCCAAACUCCUACGGGAGGCAGCAGUGAGGAAUAUUGGUCAAUGGGCGCAGGCCUGAACCAGCCAAGUAGCGUGAAGGAUGACUGCCCUAUGGGUUGUAAACUUCUUUUAUAUGGGAAUAAAGUUUUCCACGUGUGGAAUUUUGUAUGUACCAUAUGAAUAAGGAUCGGCUAACUCCGUGCCAGCAGCCGCGGUAAUACGGAGGAUCCGAGCGUUAUCCGGAUUUAUUGGGUUUAAAGGGAGCGUAGGUGGACAGUUAAGUCAGUUGUGAAAGUUUGCGGCUCAACCGUAAAAUUGCAGUUGAUACUGGCUGUCUUGAGUACAGUAGAGGUGGGCGGAAUUCGUGGUGUAGCGGUGAAAUGCUUAGAUAUCACGAAGAACUCCGAUUGCGAAGGCAGCUCACUGGACUGCAACUGACACUGAUGCUCGAAAGUGUGGGUAUCAAACAGGAUUAGAUACCCUGGUAGUCCACACAGUAAACGAUGAAUACUCGCUGUUUGCGAUAUACAGUAAGCGGCCAAGCGAAAGCAUUAAGUAUUCCACCUGGGGAGUACGCCGGCAACGGUGAAACUCAAAGGAAUUGACGGGGGCCCGCACAAGCGGAGGAACAUGUGGUUUAAUUCGAUGAUACGCGAGGAACCUUACCCGGGCUUAAAUUGCAUUUGAAUAUAUUGGAAACAGUAUAGCCGUAAGGCAAAUGUGAAGGUGCUGCAUGGUUGUCGUCAGCUCGUGCCGUGAGGUGUCGGCUUAAGUGCCAUAACGAGCGCAACCCUUAUCUUUAGUUACUAACAGGUCAUGCUGAGGACUCUAGAGAGACUGCCGUCGUAAGAUGUGAGGAAGGUGGGGAUGACGUCAAAUCAGCACGGCCCUUACGUCCGGGGCUACACACGUGUUACAAUGGGGGGUACAGAAGGCAGCUACCUGGUGACAGGAUGCUAAUCCCAAAAGCCUCUCUCAGUUCGGAUCGAAGUCUGCAACCCGACUUCGUGAAGCUGGAUUCGCUAGUAAUCGCGCAUCAGCCAUGGCGCGGUGAAUACGUUCCCGGGCCUUGUACACACCGCCCGUCAAGCCAUGAAAGCCGGGGGUACCUGAAGUACGUAACCGCAAGGAGCGUCCUAGGGUAAAACUGGUAAUUGGGGCUAAGU
Molecule: ribosomal RNA, 1440 nt
Filed under: uncultured organism
Description: 16S ribosomal RNA
Rfam family: Bacterial small subunit ribosomal RNA
Source: RNAcentral